RNAcentral lists this ribosomal RNA (2178 nucleotides) under Triticum aestivum (bread wheat). RNAcentral's name for it is "partial small subunit ribosomal RNA". Lineage: Eukaryota; Viridiplantae; Streptophyta; Magnoliopsida; Poales; Poaceae. The record is from RNAcentral.
AUGGAGAUGGACGCGACGGAGAGGCUGCGGUGGCGCUUCUCGGACGGCGGCCUCACCGAUCUGCUCGACGCCCGCAGCCUCCACGGUUCCCCCGACAUUGGAAAGAGAAUGCAGUUCCAUUCUUCUCUAGUACAAAGGCUUGCUUUAGAAAAGGAGAUUGAGGGUCACGUAGGUUGCGUGAAUGCUAUUGCAUGGAACUCAAGUGGCUCACUUCUGAUAUCAGGAUCAGAUGACACUAGAGUCAACAUCUGGAAUUAUGCUAAUCAAGAGCUGUUGCAUGAAAUUGAUACUGGACAUUCAGCAAAUGUAUUUUGCACAAAAUUUGUACCGGAAACAUGUGAUGAAGUAGUAGUUUCAGGAGCAGGAGAUGCCGAGGUUCGUGUUUUCAAUUUGUCUCGUUUAAGUGGCAUAAGGCCUAGGGAGGUUUCCAUGGAGCCAGCUGCAGUUUACCAAUGUCACUCAAGGAGGGUCAAGAAACUAGCUGUCGAAGGUGGCAACCCUAAUGUAGUGUGGAGUGCAAGUGAGGAUGGUACUGUAAGACAGCAUGAUUUUAGGGAAUGCAGUUCCUGUCCUCGUGCAGGAUUGGUUAAUCAGGAAUGCCGUAACGUGCUUCUAGAUCUACGAUCUGGAGGAAAGAAGUCUUUAGCUGAUCCCCCCAGACAACCGCUGUCGUUUAAGUCUUGUGAUAUUAGCUCAGUUCGUCCCCAUCAGCUCCUUGUUGGUGGGAGUGAUGCGUUUGCCCGGCUGUACGAUAGGAGAAUGCUUCCACCAUUGAGCUCAUGUCAAACAAGAAGGAAGCCACCGCCUUGUAUAAAAAUGUUCUGUCCAUUGCACCUUGCUGAGAAUAGGAAGUCAAAUUUGCACCUUACCCAUGUUGCGUUCAGCCCGAAUGGGAAUGAGGUUCUUUUGAGUUACAGUGGUGAACAUGUAUAUCUAUUUGAUGUCGACCCAGACAAUACGAGUUCAGUGAGAUACACAGCAGAUGACGUACGCGAUCAGUUAUGUUUACUGCCUUUUCACAAGGAACCAAGAAAACAAAAGUCAAAACGAGACAAGUUUCCAGCUAAGAGAAAUUUGUGUAGGGUAGAUAUGUUGAAGAAACUUAUGCAAGUCGUGAUAAAAUCUCUGGAGACUGGCACAAACCUAAUGCAUGGCAUUGAAGCAUGCUGUGAAAUACUCGAGGCCAUGGAAUCUGAUAUUGAUGAUAGCACGAGGCAUGAUUGUUUGUGUACCCGCGCAGGAUUGUACCUAAAGCGGAGGUGGAAAAAUGAUGUUUACAUGGCUAUUCGGGAUUGCAAUGAAGCAAGGAGUAUUGACUUCGCAUCAUUCCAGGCACACUUGUUCAUGGCUGAUGCACUGCUACAGUUAGGAAGACUGAAGGAGGCAUGUGAAUAUGCAGAAGCUGCACAUAGUCUUGUUCUACCAAAUUCGGUGUCUGCGGAACAGGUGGAAAAUAUAAAGAAGCGACUUGCUGCUGCUGAACUUGAGAAAAAUAAAAAAGAUCAACAAGGAAAUACUAACACUGAUGCACGGCAUGGACGGUUACGGUCAUUGAGUGAUCUAUUGUUCAGAUCAGAUGUUAGUGGGUCAUCAUCACAGGAGGGCCGAGAAGAUUCAGAUUACAAUGAUGAGAUGGAGUUAGACUUUGAUACAUCAGUAUCAGGUGACGAAAGCCAUGAUAGUGAUCCAGCUGAGUCCACUUGUAAUGGCGAUUCUGCCUACGAGCCGGAUGUUGCCAUUGAUAUGAAACAAAGAUAUGUUGGGCACUGCAAUGUGGGGACAGAUAUAAAGCAAGCUAGCUUUCUUGGUGAACAAGGGGAAUUUAUUGCCAGCGGAAGUGAUGAUGGUAGAUGGUUCAUAUGGGAGAAAAGAACAGGAAGGCUUGUUAAAAUGCUUGCAGGGGAUGGAGCUGUUGUGAACUGUAUACAGUCUCAUCCCUAUGAUUGUGCUGUUGCAACGAGUGGAAUUGACAAUACAAUAAAGUUAUGGACACCGGAUGCAGAAGGUACUUCUAUGGUUGAUGGACCAGAAAUUGAUGUGUUAAGUGCCAUAGAGAACAACCAGAAGAAGUUAUGCCGCAACCGUGAAACUUUGUUGCCUUUUGAGUUUUUGGAACGAUUUGGGGCGCAUGAAUUUGCUGAAGGAAGCUUGCAUCCUUUAGAGUGUGCGCAGACUUGA